Non-coding RNA from Candidatus Gottesmanbacteria bacterium RBG_16_38_7b, 122 nucleotides. The record is from Rfam. NCBI's taxonomy places the organism in Bacteria, Candidatus Gottesmaniibacteriota.
AAUAUCGUUAAGGGGUGUCCUGAUGGAAGCGAGCGUCAGCAAGCUUUGAUAUCGGGACUGAGAUCAAACCCGUUGAACCUGAUCUGGGUAAUUCCAGCGGAGGGAUAAAAAUGCCAAACUCC